CAAGACCGGUGCCAGCCGCCGCGGUAAUACCGGCAGCUCAAGUGGUAGCCGCGAUUAUUGGGCCUAAAACGUUCGUAGCCGGAUAAGUAAGUCUUUGGUUAAAUCCUGCGACUCAACCGUGGGAAUUCUAGAGAGUACUGCUCGUCUUGAGACCGGGAGAGGUUGGAGGUACUCCUAGGGUAGGGGUGAAAUCCUGUAAUCCUAGGGGGACCACCUGUGGCGAAGGCGUCCAACUGGAACGGGUCUGACGGUGAGGGACGAAACCUAGGGGAGCGAGCCGGAUUAGAUACCCGGGUAGUCCUAGGCGUAAAUGAUGCGAGUUAAGUGUGGGGGCAUCUACGAGAUGGCCCUGUGCUGUAGGGUAGCCGUUAAACUCGCUGCCUGGGGAGUACGGUCGCAAGGCUGAAACUUAAAGGAAUUGGCGGGGGAGCACCACAAGAGGUGGAGGCUGCGGUUCAAUUGGACUCAACGCCGGAAAACUCACCGGAUUAAGACAGCUGAAUGAUAGCCGGGCUGAAGACUCUGCUUGACUAGCUGAGAAGUGG
This 545-nucleotide ribosomal RNA is filed under the name uncultured archaeon. RNAcentral's name for it is "bacterial SSU rRNA". It matches the Rfam family "Archaeal small subunit ribosomal RNA", at positions 447 to 990 of the family's 1478-position model. The record is from RNAcentral.